RNAcentral lists this long non-coding RNA (408 nucleotides) under Monodelphis domestica (gray short-tailed opossum). Its description in RNAcentral is "lncRNA (ENSMODG00000035777.2)". The record is from RNAcentral. Lineage: Eukaryota; Metazoa; Chordata; Mammalia; Didelphimorphia; Didelphidae.
UUAAUAUCUAUUAAUACUAUAAUUUAUUCUACAUAUGGAUAUCCUUAAUCCAUGUCAUAAUUUUACAUAAGACAAAUUAUAUAGAUGGGCAUUGUGAUAUGGAAAUCACUUUAAAAAUUCACAGCAUAUACAUUAAACCCAUGGUUAUAGGAUCUUCAAACCUUUAUCUUACUAGCAUAUCAUUGGGAAUACCUCAAUCUAUACCUCAUGAGAGAUCACCAUCCUACCAUCUAAAAGCCUUCGGUCCUUCAGAGGAAGCUCAUACAUGAUGAGGAGACAGGGGAAAACAGAAUAAAAGACUUGCCCAGGAUCACAUGGCUGAAGCUCAAUUUGAACUCACAUCUCCCUGACUCCAGACCAGUGAUAUCCUAAAAAAAUUCCAGCAUAUACAACAACCACAAGAGAGGA